RNAcentral lists this ribosomal RNA (463 nucleotides) under uncultured bacterium. RNAcentral describes it as "partial 16S ribosomal RNA". It matches the Rfam family "Bacterial small subunit ribosomal RNA", at positions 28 to 507 of the family's 1533-position model. The record is from RNAcentral.
GAUGAACGCUGACAGAAUGCUUAACACAUGCAAGUCUUUGGCGAAGCUGUGCUUGCACAGCCUAGCCAAGGCGGACGGGUGAGUAACGCGUAAGGAACUUGCCCUGCAGUCAGGGAUAACAGACGGAAACGACUGAUAAGACCUGGUAAAGUCAGGCGGACUCAUGUCCAGCCUGAUGAAAAGAGAUGCUGCAGGAGAGCCUUGCGUCCUAUUAGCUUGUUGGUGGGGUAACGGCCCACCAAGGCGAUGAUAGGUAGCCGGCCUGAGAGGGUGGACGGCCACAAGGGGACUGAGAUACGGCCCUUACUCCUACGGGAGGCAGCAGGGGGGAAUAGUGGACAAUGGGGGCAACCCUGAUCCAGCAAUUCUGUGUGCACGAUGAAGGUUUUCGGAUUGUAAAGUGCUUUCAGCAGGGAAGAAAAAAAUGACGGUACCUGCAGAAGAAGCGACGGCUAAAUACGUG